AAUAGAUACCCGGGUAGUCCACGCCGUAAACGAUGAGUGCUAAGUGUUGGGGGGUUUCCGCCCCUCAGUGCUGCAGCUAACGCAUUAAGCACUCCGCCUGGGGAGUACGGUCGCAAGACUGAAACUCAAAGGAAUUGACGGGGGCCCGCACAAGCGGUGGAGCAUGUGGUUUAAUUCGAAGCAACGCGAAGAACCUUACCAAGUCUUGACAUCCCGGUGACCACUAUGGAGACAUAGUUUCCCCUUCGGGGGCAACGGUGACAGGUGGUGCAUGGUUGUCGUCAGCUCGUGUCGUGAGAUGUUGGGUUAAGUCCCGCAACGAGCGCAACCCUUAUUCUUAGUUGCCAUCAUUCAGUUGGGCACUCUAAGGAGACUGCCGGUGAUAAACCGGAGGAAGGUGGGGAUGACGUCAAAUCAUCAUGCCCCUUAUGACCUGGGCUACACACGUGCUACAAUGGACGGUACAAACGGUUGCCAACCCGCGAGGGGGAGCUAAUCCGAUAAAACCGUUCUCAGUUCGGAUUGUAGGCUGCAACUCGCCUACA
This 545-nucleotide ribosomal RNA is filed under the name uncultured bacterium. Its description in RNAcentral is "bacterial SSU rRNA". It matches the Rfam family "Bacterial small subunit ribosomal RNA", at positions 777 to 1320 of the family's 1533-position model. The record is from RNAcentral.